UACGUAGGGUGCGAGCGUUUGUCCGGAAUUACUGGGCGUAAAGAGCUCGUAGGUGGUUUGUCGCGUUGUCCGUGAAAACUCACAACUCAAUUGUGGGCGUGCGGGCGAUACGGGCAGACUGGAGUACUGCAGGGGAGACUGGAAUUCCUGGUGUAGCGGUGGAAUGCGCAGAUAUCAGGAGGAACACCGGUGGCGAAGGCGGGUCUCUGGGCCGAUACUGACGCUGGAGGAGCGAAAGCAUGGGGAGCGAACAGG
This 255-nucleotide ribosomal RNA is filed under the name uncultured bacterium. RNAcentral describes it as "partial 16S ribosomal RNA". It matches the Rfam family "Bacterial small subunit ribosomal RNA", at positions 524 to 776 of the family's 1533-position model. The record is from RNAcentral.